GCUGGGCGUGGUGGUGCAUGCCUGUGGUCCCAGCUACUCAGGAGGCUGAGGCAGGAGGCUCGCUUGUGCCCAGGAGGUUGAGUCUGUAGUGAGUUGUGAUCCUGCCACUGCACUGUAGCCUGGGAGACAGAGCAAGAUCCUGUCUCAA
This is a non-coding RNA of Pan troglodytes (chimpanzee), 148 nucleotides long. It matches the Rfam family "Metazoan signal recognition particle RNA". From Rfam's summary of the family: The signal recognition particle (SRP) is a universally conserved ribonucleoprotein. It is involved in the co-translational targeting of proteins to membranes. NCBI's taxonomy places the organism in Eukaryota, Metazoa, Chordata, Mammalia, Primates, Hominidae. The record is from Rfam.